AAAAAAAAAACAUUGAGGACAAUGUCUGGUCUAGGUUGGGGGAUAUAGGAUUCGAAUUUUUGAAAAAUUUUUCGCAUUUUCACAUUUUUAAGUGAAUUUCAAAAAAAAAAAAUAAAUUUCAAAAAAAAAAAAACCUAAUUUCUAUGCCUUAGUGCUGAAAUGAUAAUCACACAAAGUAUAUAAAAUCUAAAAAGCCCAAUAACUAGUCAGGAGUAAGUCAAUUUGAGUUCUUUUUAUUAAAUAUUCUUUUAGCGAGUUGUAAG
This 263-nucleotide long non-coding RNA is filed under the name Phoenix dactylifera (date palm). Its description in RNAcentral is "long non-coding RNA (PDAC_LNC017432)". Lineage: Eukaryota; Viridiplantae; Streptophyta; Magnoliopsida; Arecales; Arecaceae. The record is from RNAcentral.